GGUGAACGCUGGCGGCGUGCCUAAUACAUGCAAGUCGAGCGAACGGACGAGAAGCUUGCUUCUCUGAUGUUAGCGGCGGACGGGUGAGUAACACGUGGAUAACCUACCUAUAAAACUGGGAUAACUUCGGGAAACCGGAGCUAUUACCGGAGAAUAUUUUAAACCGAAGGGUUAAAAAUUGAAAAAGGGUCUUGCUGUAACUUAUAGAUGGAUCCGCGCUGCAUUAGCUAGUUGGUAAGGUAACGGCUUACCAAGGCAACGAUGCAUAGCCGACCUGAGAGGGUGAUCGGCCACACUGGAACUGAGACACGGUCCAGACUCCUACGGGAGGCAGCAGUAGGGAAUCUUCCGCAAUGGGCGAAAGCCUGACGGAGCAACGCCGCGUGAGUGAUGAAGGUCUUCGGAUCGUAAAACUCUGUUAUUAGGGAAGAACAUAUGUGUAAGUAACUGUGCACAUCUUGACGGUACCUAAUCAGAAAGCCACGGCUAACUACGUG
RNAcentral lists this ribosomal RNA (497 nucleotides) under uncultured bacterium. RNAcentral describes it as "partial 16S ribosomal RNA". It matches the Rfam family "Bacterial small subunit ribosomal RNA", at positions 28 to 507 of the family's 1533-position model. The record is from RNAcentral.